AGGGGCCAUCAAGCGAGCGUCGCCGCGAAGCCGGCCGCCGCCCCGGUGGCCUGCCACUCCGUGCAGGGCUCCUGGUGACAAACGACACUCACUCUGGGACAAAACGCCAGGCGAGCAUGUUCUGCGGUUGAUUUUGACGGGGCUGGAAUGACUGGUCCCUUCCGGGAGCUCACGUCUCCGUGCGGGGAGGGCCCGGAUUAAACCCGCGGCUCUGGAGGCGCAGCUCCUCGCGCCUCCGCGCCUGUCACUUGAAACGCAAGUAUUUGGCUUAAGCUUAUUUUUCCUCCUAAGCCGCCUGGCACAUACUCUGCCCCGAGAGCGGCUUUGCAAAGCAAAGAUGUUUAUUUCCAGGGUUGUGGGAAAGCUGUACCCCUCCCAACGACCUGCUUACGUGAGAAGUUCAGGAAAGACACGCAGGGCCGGGUGGACGGGGCCGCUGCGGGUCUGACGCGCCCCAAACAGCACCACAGGGCGACCCCCGAGUCCCCUCACGUCCUGCACCCCCAUGGCGCCUUCUUACCGCCCAAGGUAACCCCCGUUGGGUUAGGCGUGUGGAGCCGCAGGGCUGGGUCAGGUCUCAAUGGCCAGAGGGUCCAGCCUUAGGUCCCCUCCUUCCCCAGGGCAGGGCCACAGACCCAGGGCAGCGAGAUCCCUGUGCUACCUCUGGGCGCUUGGCUCAGGCACCUAGUCUGAGCCCCAGUCCCCUCUCUGCACGGGGAACACCCCUGACUGGGCCUCGGGGUCACUGUGAGAGGCAAACAGCACCCAUGUUAUGUGAAAACGCCGUAGGGGCACAGGGAUGUUGCCACCCCAGGAACCAGCUGGGGGGGCGUGUGUCUGGGGGCAGCCUCCUCCUCUGAGUGUGUGUUUGCAGGACCGUGAGCCGUCCUGGCCUCGGGCCGUGCCGUCCAGUAGUUUCUCGAGCAAAGGCCUGAAAGAAGAGCGAGGAGGGGCCGGGGCCAGGGCAGGGGCUCUGCCACCCUCCGUUUGAAGACUGCCCACGCGGGCCUCUCCUUCAGCCCAGGUGACAAACCCACACACCACCCAGUGAUGCUGGCAGCCAGGGCCUUGCCACCUGGAGGGGCGGCUCCGGGGACCAGUCAGCUGGGCAGGGCCGACAGAGCCGGCUCUCAGCAGAAAGCGCGGGGCGAGACGGGCGUCCCAGGCAGCCUCUCUGACGGGGCGCCUCCUCCUCUGCCCCGGAUGCCCUAGAAGUGGCCUCUAUCUCCACCAGCAGCCCCCCGCUUUCGUUCACUCUGAGGUCCCUCAGUGGCGGUGACUGCUCAGACCCCAGCCUGUCCCCUUCGUCUCUGCCCUGUCACCACCCGCAUUUCUGAGCUCCUUACAGAAUGGAAGUUCUGGGUCCUGGGGAGCUUGAGCCUGACGUGGGCCCGGAUCCUGGAAUACGCCCAGGAGGCUGGGAUGGGCAGUCAGCCCCACCAGGCCUCAGUGACCCCGCCUGUCAAGCAGUCCGUGGAGGAGAUAAAUUUAAUCUCCUUGGCAUAUGGAAGUCCCCAGGCUAGGGGUUGAAUGGGAGCUACAGCUGCUGGUCUACACCACAGCCACAGUAACACAGGAUCUGAGCCACAUCUAUGCCCUAAACCACAGCUCACGGCAACCCCAGAUCCUCAACCCACUGAGCGAGGCCAGGGAUCCAACCCACAUCCUCAUGGUUCCUAAUCAGCUUUGUUACCGCUGAGCCAAACAGGAACCCCAAGAGCCUAACGUUUUAAAUGAAAGAUGGAACUAUACAGGGGACACAGUUAAAAGGAGCUGCAGGGAGCUGGGCUGGGAGACGCUGGCCAGAUUAAAGCCAUUUCCGUGGGAAUGCACCCCUGUGCACGGAGCAGGCCCCCAAGUGGCAAGGAAGUUUCUGCAGUUAUGGUCUCUGCUGGCCCCGAGAGGGAGAGGUGAGCCUGAGGGAAGCUGUCCGUGCCCUGAUCCCUGGAGCUGAGUGUGACCCCGUGUGGGAAAGAGUGCUUCGGGCAGGGCCAAGGCCAAGGGCUGAGAAGAGGGACCAUCCUGGGUCAUCGGGUGGACCCUGCGCGGCCCGUGUCCUCAGAGGGAGCAGCCCAGGGGCUCUGACUGCAGGCAGGGGGCGUGGCGACCACAGGGAAGCAUAGACAAGGGCUGCCUCGGGUCAAGGACGGCUGGUAGCCGCGGGCCCUGGGAGCAGAGCGGCCCUGCCCACAGCUUCAUCUCCGCGGAGAUCCGGCUUUGGCCUCAGGCCUCCAGCGCGUGCGGUUUCACGUGGGAGCUGCAAACCACCCUCUGUGGGACGUCACCACGGCGGCCCAGGGCUGGCGCGCGGACCAUGGGAGCGAGCCCACCGCACCACGAAGGAGGUGAGAGGUGGGCAGAGAGGUGAGGGUGCCCGGAGAAUGAGAGCCCAGCGCUCGGUCCAUCCCUGAAGAUGCCCAGCUGCUCGGACCGGAGGUCAGGCCGGGCCACGCGGACACUAGCCCACCUCGGCCGCUUGCUCAGGAAAUGCCGACGUGCUGCACUCUCUUUAAAGCACUGCUUCUGUUUAGCCAAGCCCCCCACGUCCACGCCGCGCCCUGCCGGGUCCGGCUGAGCCUGUGCUGCGUGUGUCCCUCCCACCCAGCAGCCCACGGGCCACACAGGGAGGAAGCGUCUGCGGGGAGAGCAGGGCUUCCAGCAGCCUGCCUGGGGCCUCCAGCCCCAGCCGCCCCGCCAGCCCACCGGGCUGGGGGUCCUCCUCCACUGUGGCCACCCUUGGGAGUCACAGGCCCUGACACGCACGUGCAGAGACCCCCCAGGAGCCCAGCCCAGGGCCAGGCCCCUUGAGGAGAGGAACUGUCGCCAGAUGUCCAGGAAGAGGUGACCUGCCUGAGACCAGCCGGGACGCACUGAUGGGGCCGCAGGGUGUGGUCCCCGCUGUGCGAGGCACAUUGCAGUGCACAAAGCAUCCUUCCCGGAAACUGAAGCUCAGCCCAAGAGCCGAACUUCACCAUGUCUUAGCCAAGCGUUGCAUUUCAAAUUGUAAUUAAAAUAUCAUUUAAAGUUUUCCGAAAUGUCCUGGAAUACAACUUGAGAAGCCACCGUGGGACCGGCUCACAGUGGGCAGUGGGCUGGAGGUGGAGACGGAGGGGCCGAGGCCUGGAGGCUGCCCUCUGGCAGGAAACCCGAGGCAACCGCGUGGGCAAAGGAACGAGGGGCAGCUCUCAGCAGAGACUUGGGCGGGAGGGCGCGGCCGCUGCAGGUUAUCAGCAGGUGGGGCCACUGGGGGCUCAGCCGGGCCUGCUGGAGGUGUGCCGGCCUCUCUGGGGCCUGGCCCUGCGUGGACCAGCAGGGCUUGGCCUGGGGGUGGCGGGCAGCAGGGCGCCAGACCAGCUGGCUGGGGUGCCGGGAGGAGGGGGUUUGCAGAUGAGCCUGUGCCUGUGCCGUGUCCUGGGAGCGCGUUUUCUCUAUUCCGUCAAGGGCUAACACCCCUCAGGAGUGUACGUGUGGCCUCUCACCUGGGGACACUCACCGUGGUGAGGUGACAGCAGGAGAGGCUGUUAGAGCCCACGACACUCUCUCUGUUGCCCUGAGAGACCCUUGAGGAGCUGGCACCCGUGGAGGCGUGAGACGGAGCUGUCCUCCUGGGGUCACCUAACCUCCGCGGAUGCCUGGCAAGUGCACACGCAGGGCGUCCGGGCCGUGGAGCCACCAUGUCCUUCAGGACUCACUGCACCCACAGCCCCUCUGCGGCCCCGACAUCCCCUGGGAGGCGGGCAGCCCACCACGCCCGGUGCCACCUCCCACCCCGGCGUGGCCGCGCUUGGGGGCUGCGCUCUGGCCUCAGUCCCCGUCCGUGCUCCGUCCCUCGCGCCCCACGGGCCCCCCCUGCUCCGCCGCUCGCUGCCGCGGGUUGUUUCCCGCUUCCAAGGGGGUCGGUGUCCACACGUGUGCGCCUCUCGGGGACGCAGGCCGGGUCCACGCUGCCGGCCGAGAGGCUCUCCCUAAGGAGGCCCCAAGGCUUCCAGGGCCGUGUGGCCUCGUGUGGCCUUGUCACUUCACCAUCGAGCGCUGGGGUCUCACAGACCUGCGCUCGGCUUCCCUUUGACCUGCUCUCUGCCCUGUGAGCGUCCUCUCUGGGGAGUGACGGUCACCGCAGCUGAGAUUUUCCUUCUCGGUUUGCGGGACAGGCCGGGCUGAGGCCCUGCGGUUGGCGUGCUCCGCCCACUUUCUUAGCGGCGCCUUUGAAAUAACCGAAGACACUGGUUUCACGGGAGCCCAACAUAUCCACCUAUCCCGGGCCACAUUGCACACCGUGUCCGGCUCGACCCCAACUGCCUCUGUCACCUCUGAUCUCUGCACGUGGCCCUCUGGUUUGGGUAAGUGUCCCGCUGAGGGCAGGGUCUAGGGACACCCAGGGAAACGCAGCAUCACAGGGAGACAGGGAGGGGUCUACGGCCACGCCAGGUGCCCAGGCCAUCCUCAGGCCCCAGACUGUUCUUUUUCUUACAGGUAUACUACUAUUUUUAUUAACACUAUUUUUAUUAAAUUCACUGACAAUGCUAAAUUCUAGAACUUUAAGGGUAUAAUGUGAAACAGCAUCACAAAAUUUAAGGGAUAGUGCAACUACCUCUAUACAUAAUAUGGGGACAAGCCCCGCAGGCUAAACGCUCAGGACUCGGCUCCUUGGUUGCUGACCUCAGACAAGGCACCAAGCAGUCUUGUCCAUUUACAAAAAACUGCAGGACCAGCAGUAACAGGAUUGGGAAGAACCGAUUCAAGAUCGUGGGGCCAGGCUGAGCCCGGUUCGCUGGGGGCUGUUGCAGCUCAAGUCCAGGACAGUCCCCGCGGCGGAAGGAAGCCACUUGACAUGGUGGGUUCUGCCUCUGGGGCCUCUUGCGGAGGCCAGCGGCUUCACCCAAUAUGUUUCCUGCCUCCCAUGCCAUCCCAGGCACCAGUUCUGCCAGUCGUUUGGCAAAUCCCCCCAUGUGGACCACGCAACAGGCACCCGCCUUCAGGAAAACACUCCCGGCCACGGAACGAGUUCUGCUCACCAAAGGAUUGGGCAUGUGCCGUGGCAGCACCCCCUCCCCUCUGGGAGGCCACUUCCGUGCCAGUCAGCUUUGCAGCACAACAAACUGCCUCAAGACGGAGCGCUUAAGGCACCCUCCUCUCACUCAGCCUGCAGCCCUGAGUGGCAGCUGGGGCUCUCUGGGCUCGGCCAGUGCGUCCGAUCCCUGCCUGACGCGUGACCCUCGGGCACUUAGCCCCCCACCCCCACCCCCCCCACGCUUUGUGGUUUCAACCCUGCAUGUGCUUUAAUCCCACGAGAAGGCGCCACGGCUGCUUCAUGCUCCAGGGUCACUGGGUUUUCCCGAAUCUUUCCCCUUCCUUGUCCUCGGCCUCCUGGACCCGGAAACCCACCUGGGCUCGUGGUCCUUCCGUGGCCGGGUACAGGGGAUGAGCUUGAUCUGCUCUUCGGGGGGUUAUGGAAAUCCUCUCUUUUACUUUCAUUUUUUCUUGGUCCCUGGUUUUCACUUCUUUCUUUCGAUGUUCUCAGGGGAGGCUUUCUUCCCACUCUCCUCCCUGGUGGUUCUGUGCUUCUUGGAUCUGGAGUUUGAUAUCUUUCAUCGACUUUAGGAAAUUAUCAGCCUUUAGCUCUUUAAGUGUUUCUUUGGAUUUGCUCUCUUUCUUCCCAUCUAGGACUUGAAAUUCCAGCUUGUGAGACUCCCACUGCACCCCUAGGAUUUGCUCUCUCUUACACCUUCCAGUCUUCAUUUCCCUGCCUCGCUUGGCUGCCCUCCAGAGCCGGUGUCCAUGACGGGAAUGAAGUUUCAUUAGAGCUGCACCGUAGGACCUGCGAAUGCCGCCCAGAGCCCAGAUCGAAUACGCAAAUGCAGAGAGGGCUCCGCUCUGCGCCCUGAGCAGCCCGGGUCCCUGGGGGCCUGGCCGUCCGCUUCCCAAAUCCACACCGAAGGUCCUGGGCCGGCGCUUCGGAGACGCCCGUGGGAGCCUGUCCUGGUGGAUGAGGAGCAAAGCAUCCCUCCUGAGAGCAGCGGGUCAGGCACAGGGACCCCGACUGGAGCCAUGACUCUGGCUCCCUGGAAAACCACGCAGAGCACCCAGCCGCCGAGGGAGCACCCACACGCGGCUGUGCAGGCUGAUUGACACCUGUCUUCCCUGGGGUUUCAGGAAACAGCCUCUGUCUGACUGAGUUGGGAUCACUUCCCGGCUUACUUAAAAUUUGAUGCCUGAGAAG
Molecule: long non-coding RNA, 6220 nt
Filed under: Sus scrofa (pig)
Lineage: Eukaryota; Metazoa; Chordata; Mammalia; Artiodactyla; Suidae
Description: lncRNA (ENSSSCG00055014437.1)
Source: RNAcentral